GGGGACGUAGCUCAGCUGGUAGAGCAACCGACUUUUAAUCGGUAGGUCCAGGGUUCAAAUCCCUGCGUCCCCA
This 73-nucleotide transfer RNA is filed under the name Rubinisphaera sp. RNAcentral's name for it is "tRNA-Lys". It matches the Rfam family "tRNA". From Rfam's summary of the family: Transfer RNA (tRNA) molecules are approximately 80 nucleotides in length. Their secondary structure includes four short double-helical elements and three loops (D, anti-codon, and T loops). Further hydrogen bonds mediate the characteristic L-shaped molecular structure. tRNAs have two regions of fundamental functional importance: the anti-codon, which is responsible for specific mRNA codon recognition, and the 3' end, to which the tRNAs corresponding amino acid is attached (by aminoacyl-tRNA synthetases). tRNAs cope with the degeneracy of the genetic code in two manners: having more than one tRNA (with a specific anti-codon) for a particular amino acid; and 'wobble' base-pairing, i.e. permitting non-standard base-pairing at the 3rd anti-codon position. Lineage: Bacteria; Pseudomonadati; Planctomycetota; Planctomycetia; Planctomycetales; Planctomycetaceae. RNAcentral also lists the same sequence under 1 other name. The record is from RNAcentral.